RNAcentral lists this ribosomal RNA (429 nucleotides) under Bacteroidota bacterium. RNAcentral describes it as "Bacteroidetes bacterium partial 16S ribosomal RNA". It matches the Rfam family "Bacterial small subunit ribosomal RNA", at positions 355 to 776 of the family's 1533-position model. Lineage: Bacteria; Pseudomonadati; Bacteroidota. The record is from RNAcentral.
UAGGGAAUCUUCGGCAAUGGGGGGAACCCUGACCGAGCAACGCCGCGUGAGUGAAGAAGGUUUUCGGAUCGUAAAGCUCUGUUGUUAAGGAAGAACGAGUGUGAGAAUGGAAAGUUCAUACUGUGACGGUACUUAACCAGAAAGGGACGGCUAACUACGUGCCAGCAGCCGCGGUAAUACGUAGGUCCCGAGCGUUGUCCGGAUUUAUUGGGCGUAAAGCGAGCGCAGGCGGUUAGAUAAGUCUGAAGUUAAAGGCAGUGGCUCAACCAUUGUAGGCUUUGGAAACUGUUUAACUUGAGUGCAGAAGGGGGGAGUGGAAUUCCAUGUGUAGCGGUGAAAUGCGUAGAUAUAUGGAGAAACACCGGUGGCGAAAGCGGCUCUCUGGUCUGUAACUAACGCUGAGGCUCGAAAGCGUGGGGAGCGAACAGG